UAAAAGGUUCAGAUGCUAGGAC
This 22-nucleotide microRNA is filed under the name Eisenia fetida (common brandling worm). Its description in RNAcentral is "Efe-Novel-5_5p (mature (guide))". Lineage: Eukaryota; Metazoa; Annelida; Clitellata; Crassiclitellata; Lumbricidae. The record is from RNAcentral.